Long non-coding RNA from Bombus huntii, 1142 nucleotides. RefSeq lists it as uncharacterized. Lineage: Eukaryota; Metazoa; Arthropoda; Insecta; Hymenoptera; Apidae. The transcript has 3 exons. The record is from RefSeq and is a predicted model, not a curated record.
GUGGAGAUGGAAAGGAGGCUAGAUUAGCGUGGGGUAGGAAAAAGCGAAAGUCAUGUCAGACCAAUCGCAGCUGAGACAGACGGAGCAUUGUGCGCAUCUCUGCCCUAGAUAAUUAAUAUCCGUGGUCGGUAGUUUUCUGCGGGCGAGCGCGGUGCAUCGCGCCGACAUAGUCUCCGCGCCACGUCGAUUGCUUCAUUUUCCCGUCGAGCUAAUUGAUUAAAGGGAUUAUUAUUACGACGCCGUGAGCAGGAUGCUCCGCCGACCGGCACACAGCCGAUUUCCUCGCCUCGUCGCCACUCUCGUUUAUGACAGCCGUUACGAAGCAAAUAAAGCUACUACGUGUCAAUUCGGAUGCGAAAUUUUAAUUAAUAUAUAAAUUGCGGAUUGUUACGUAUUUGUGAAAAAUUUGAGAGCACAAAAUACAUAAAAUGCCUGGAAAGAUCUUCAUACGGAAAAUAUUGAAAGAUACGCGCACUUUUUACGCGUAUUUUUAACUUGCAUUAGGAUUCGUAAUUGUGAAGAUGAUCGGAUGUUCGAUAUCAGUAUUAGAUAUCAAAUUAACGAAGUAAUUAGUGCGAUGCCAUAUUCUGUGAGUAAGAUGGAGAAAAAGUUUGAAAUCACAAUCUGUACGUGGUUGCAUUAAUGGAAAUACAAGUUUGAAAAGUGAAAAUUGGUCAAUUGAGUAAUUUCCUCACCUGCCUUGUUUUAUCUCAGUAAAUCAUCAAUCUUUUCUUAAAGAAUAGAAAUAUUGCACGAUAUUAUUUAUAAUAUGCAAUAUGGAGCGUCAAUUAAACAAACUGUAAUCUUCUUCAUUUUUAAAAUUACUCCGAUAGAAGUCAUUGUAAUGAUUAUGUACUUUUUGUAGAUAUUUUUGUAUUGAUAUUGAUAAUACCACAUAAUAUUCUAUAAUAGAUGUUUAAUCAUACAGUUACUACAACGUUAACUGCGUGAUAAUAAAAUGUCAUUUUUCUACCGAUAUUAAUUGCAAACAAAAUAUAGUAAUAAUUACGCGUCGGAAAAAUGUACUUUCUGAAACGUGAAUACGAUUUUGAAAUAUUAAAAUACGAAUAUUAAAAUUUGAACGAAUAAAUUCCCCAGUGAAAUUUGGUUUCAGAAUCUGUGCUCGAAAUGUCAGGCUGUAG